This 380-nucleotide ribosomal RNA is filed under the name uncultured bacterium. RNAcentral's name for it is "bacterial SSU rRNA". It matches the Rfam family "Bacterial small subunit ribosomal RNA", at positions 28 to 398 of the family's 1533-position model. The record is from RNAcentral.
GAUGAACGCUAGCGGCGUGCCUAAUACAUGCAAGUCGAACGAGGGCUUUGUUGUAGCAAUACGGCGAAGUCCGAGUGGCGAACGGGUGAGUAACACGUAGGCGACCUGCCCCGAAGAGGGGAGUAACCCGGGAACUGGAGCUAAUACCCCACUACCCUUGUUGGAGUUAGAGGUCUGGCAAGGAAAGGAGCAAUCCGCUUCGGGAGGGGCCGUCGCGGCCCAUCAGCUUGUUGGUAGGGUCACGGCCACCAAGGCGACGACGGGUAGGGGGCCGUGAGAGGGUGGUCCGCCUCACUGGGACUGAGACACUGCCCAGACUCCUACGGGAGGCUGCAGUCGCGAAUCAUUGGCAAUGCGCGCAAGCGUGACCAUGCGACGCC